AUUAAUCCAUGAAAUUCUCA
This 20-nucleotide non-coding RNA is filed under the name Arabidopsis thaliana (thale cress). The record is from RNAcentral. Lineage: Eukaryota; Viridiplantae; Streptophyta; Magnoliopsida; Brassicales; Brassicaceae.